ACAUACUAAGAACUUUCCAGAGAUGGAUUGGUGCCUUCGGGAACUUAGAUACAGGUGCUGCAUGGCUGUCGUCAGCUCGUGUCGUGAGAUGUUGGGUUAAGUCCGCAACGAGCGCAACCCUUUUCCUUAUUUGCCAGCGGGUAAUGCCGGGAACUUUAAGGAUACUGCCAGUGACAAACUGGAGGAAGGCGGGGACGACGUCAAGUCAUCAUGGCCCUUACGGCCAGGGCUACACACGUGCUACAAUGGUCGGUACAAAGGGUUGCUACCUCGCGAGAGGAUGCUAAUCUCAAAAAGCCGAUCGUAGUCCGGAUCGCAGUCUGCAACUCGACUGCGUGAAGUCGGAAUCGCUAGUAAUCGCGGAUCAGAAUGCCGCGGUGAAUACGUUCCCGGGCCUUGUACACACCGCCCGUCACACCAUGGGAGUUUGUUGCACCAGAAGUAGGUAGUCCAACCGCAAGGAGGACGCUUACCACGGUGUGGCCGAUGACUGGGGUGAAGUCGUAACAAGGUAGGCGUAGAUGA
This 525-nucleotide ribosomal RNA is filed under the name uncultured bacterium. RNAcentral describes it as "bacterial SSU rRNA". It matches the Rfam family "Bacterial small subunit ribosomal RNA", at positions 984 to 1509 of the family's 1533-position model. The record is from RNAcentral.